This 932-nucleotide ribosomal RNA is filed under the name uncultured Alphaproteobacteria bacterium. Its description in RNAcentral is "bacterial SSU rRNA". It matches the Rfam family "Bacterial small subunit ribosomal RNA", at positions 8 to 936 of the family's 1533-position model. The record is from RNAcentral. Lineage: Bacteria; Pseudomonadati; Pseudomonadota; Alphaproteobacteria.
AGAGUUUGAUCCUGGCUCAGGAUGAACGCUAGCGGCAGGCCUAACACAUGCAAGUCGAGGGGUAGAGGGUGCUUGCACCCUUGAGACCGGCGCACGGGUGCGUAACGCGUAUGCAACCUACCUAUUGCAGGGGAAUAGCCCAGGGAAACUUGGAUUAAUGCCCCAUAGUCCAUAUUGAGAGCAUUCGAUAUAUGGUAAAGAUUUAUCGGCAAUAGAUGGGCAUGCGUCCCAUUAGCUAGUUGGUAUGGUAACGGCAUACCAAGGCAACGAUGGGUAGGGGCCCUGAGAGGGGGAUCCCCCACACUGGUACUGAGACACGGACCAGACUCCUACGGGAGGCAGCAGUGAGGAAUAUUGGACAAUGGGCGGGAGCCUGAUCCAGCCAUGCCGCGUGCAGGAAGACUGCCCUAUGGGUUGUAAACUGCUUUUUUACGGGAAGAAACACCCCCACGUGUGGGGGCUUGACGGUACCGUACGAAUAAGGACCGGCUAACUCCGUGCCAGCAGCCGCGGUAAUACGGAGGGUCCGAGCGUUAUCCGGAAUCAUUGGGUUUAAAGGGUCCGUAGGCGGGCGUCUAAGUCAGUGGUGAAAUCUCGCGGCUCAACCGUGAAAUUGCCAUUGAUACUGGUCGCCUUGAAUUAGUGUGAAGUGGCUAGAAUAUGUAGUGUAGCGGUGAAAUGCUUAGAUAUCACAUAGAAUACCGAUUGCGAAGGCAGGUCGCUAACGACGCAUUGACGCUGAUGGACGAAAGCGUGGGGAGCGAACAGGAUUAGAUACCCUGGUAGUCCACGCCGUAAACGAUGGAUACUAGCUGUCCGUCCCGAGUUGUCGGGAUGGGUGGCCAAGCGAAAGUGAUAAGUAUCCCACCUGGGGAGUACGUUCGCAAGAAUGAAACUCAAAGGAGUUGACGGGGGCCCGCACAAGCGGUGGA